RNAcentral lists this ribosomal RNA (978 nucleotides) under uncultured Mycoplasma sp. RNAcentral describes it as "bacterial SSU rRNA". It matches the Rfam family "Bacterial small subunit ribosomal RNA", at positions 202 to 1192 of the family's 1533-position model. Lineage: Bacteria; Bacillati; Mycoplasmatota; Mollicutes; Mycoplasmatales; Mycoplasmataceae. The record is from RNAcentral.
AGGAGGCGCCUUCGGGAGCCUCGCGCGGAAACGGGAAUAUGUCCUAUUAGGUAGUUGGCGGGGUAAAGGCCCACCAAGCCAAUGAUGGGUAGCUGGACUGAGAGGUUGAACAGCCGCAAUGGGAUUGAGAUAUGGCCCAUAUUCCUACGGGAAGCAGCAGUGAGGAAUUUUUCACAAUGGACGAAAGUCUGAUGGAGCAAUACCACGUGAGCGAUGAAGGUCUUCUGAUUGUAAAGCUCUUUUAUUUAGGAAAAAAAGCGCGCCAGGAAAUGGGCGCGCCUUGAUGGUACUAAUUGAAUAAGUGACAGCUAACUAUGUGCCAGCAGCUGCGGUAAAACAUAGGUCACAAGCGUUAUCCGGAUUUAUUGGGCGUAAAGGAAGCGUAGGCGGGGAGGUUGAUCCAUUGUUAAAAGCAUUUGCUCAACAAAUGUGUGCGAUGGAGAUCGCCUCCCUAGAGUUAAUCAGGGGGUACUGGAAUUCAAUGUGUAGCGGUGGAAUGCGUAGAUAUAUUGAGGAACACCAGAGGCUAAGGCGAGUACCUGGGAUAUAACUGACGCUGAGGCUUGAAAGCGUGGGGAGCAAAUGGGAUUAGAUACCCCAGUAGUCCACGCCGUAAACGAUGAGCAUUAGGUAUUUGACGUUAUGUCGAGUGCUGUAGCUAACGCGUUAAAUGCUCCGCCUGGGUAGUAUAUAUGCAAAUAUGAAACUCAAAGAAAUUGACGGGGACCUGAACAAGUGGUGGAGCAUGUUGCUUAAUUCGAUAAUACACGAAAAACCUUACCAAGGCUUGUUAUCUACUGCAAAACUAUAGAAAUAUGGUGGAGUAUAUCAGUAAGACAGGUGGUGCAUGGCUGUCGUCAGCUCGUGUCUUGAGAUGUUUGGUUAAGUCCCGUAACGAGCGCAACCCUACUCUCUAGUUAAUUAGUUCUAGAGUGACUGAAUCGUAAGAUAUAGGAAGGAUGGGGCCAAGUCAAGUCA